Molecule: transfer RNA, 77 nt
Filed under: Clostridia bacterium
Lineage: Bacteria; Bacillati; Bacillota; Clostridia
Also listed under: 1 other name
Description: tRNA-Ile
Rfam family: tRNA
About the family: Transfer RNA (tRNA) molecules are approximately 80 nucleotides in length. Their secondary structure includes four short double-helical elements and three loops (D, anti-codon, and T loops).
Source: RNAcentral
GGGCCUUUAGCUCAGUUGGUUAGAGCAACCGGCUCAUAACCGGUCGGUCCAGGGUUCGAGUCCCUGAGGGCCCACCA